Molecule: long non-coding RNA, 674 nt
Organism: Rosa chinensis
Lineage: Eukaryota; Viridiplantae; Streptophyta; Magnoliopsida; Rosales; Rosaceae
Exons: 6
Source: RefSeq, a predicted model, not a curated record
GGACAAAGAGGCAUUAUCAACAAAGGCUGGGGUUGGUAAUUCAGUACAAUCAAAUGAUUCUGUGUACUUAGUGGACAAUUGCCCCCAUGAUGACUCUUCCUCGGAUGCUCUGUUGUGGUCAGGAACGUUACCAUCGCCUGGCUCCCAUGUAUUACCGCGGUGCAACUGCAGCUGUUGGUCUAUGAUAUCACAAGCAUGGAGUCAUUUGUUUUUAGCGAGCUAAGAAGUGGGUUUUUGAAUUGCAAAGACAAGCAAAUCCAACUUUAAUAAUGUUCUUGAUUGGAAACAAGGCCGAGUUGGAAGAGAAGAGAAAAGUAGGGACUGAGAAAAGUAGUCCUCACUUAGGAAGCAGAGAUCUAUCAGGGCAGAAAUGGUUAGGAAGUAGAGACGAUACGUAGUCUGCAGAAGGCAAGCAGAAAACAAGUAGUGAAGUCUUUGACCAUUGCGCAAUAGAUACACUGCUGAUUUCUCAUGGGACAAGUACACUCUUCAUGAAGGACCUUUUGAGGAGGUCGGAGCAACGUGUUGAAACUUUUAUCAAUGAGGGUAGAUUAGUUUAUGCUGCUGUGAACAAACUGUAUUUCAUGGUUUGAGUAUGACUUUCAUCAUUGGGAUAUAUGAUAAUACAUUGGAAGUUAUAUGUCUUUUUAAAUAAUAUCAAACAAUAGAAAGUU